UUUUGAUGUAAGUAGGAAUGAUGAGUAGGGUGAAGUCACAGGUAAACAACCCAAAACGAAUUUCCAUGCCCUCCCCACGGAUCCUAAAGCAGGGACUGGAGAUGGGGAGAGAGGCUAGAUGUACUUGGAACAAAAUUCACCUUGUAUUUAUUACCUGGGCGCUGGUGUUUUUUGAAAAAAGCAAACAAGAUAACCAUAUUAGUCUGAUGCUGAGACUAUGCCCUAUCUGUAAGAAUCCUUGGGCUGGGCGCGGUGGCUCACCCUUGUAAUCCCAACACUUGGAGGCCAAGGUGAUCUGCCCCCCUCAGCCUCCCAGAGUGCAAGGAUUACAGGCGUGAGCCACCGCACCCCACCUCCCGGCCUUUUCUCUUGUUUCAUUUUGGUAAACUAAAUUAGUUUAAUACCUCUACCCCAUCGGUGGUUGGAAUUCCCCACCUCAAUCAUUUUGGGGGCUCUCUGCCUCCUUUGAAUAGGACAGAUCUCCAGGGGUUUACCCAGGCUCCGAAGAGCCACUCCAGGCAGCCGGCUGUUUGGGGAGGUGCACCCUGGUCUUCUAGUCUGCGGAUUCCCUGCAUCGCUCCCCUGGUACUGCUCUCAAGCUCAAGGGUCACCUCAGCCAGAUGUGCCCUAGGCUGGCAGAGGUCCUUCCCCUAAAUGCAGCUGGGCAGGAUGCCACCCUUUCUACAAUAAGUUCGGUCCCAGGGAUUCCCCCAACACACACACACAUACAUUCUCUCUUACUCACAUCCUCACACACACUCACACACCCCACCACACUCACACACUUUCAAAAUCCACCGACUCUCACGCUCACACUCGCCAGCCCUUUCCCUUGCUCUGUCACUUCCCUCCAAGUCCCCGCCCCACACAGCCUCCUGCAGUCCCAGCCCCCUUGGUGCCAGCCAUCUCUGGUGCCAGCCAUCUCCCCCAAAUAUCCACCCUUCUGGGCUCCUUUCUGCCCAGAGGGACCUGAAGUUUCCCUAGGAAGCACUUGCUAAAGGCCUCCAGUCUCCAACUCCUGGGGAAGAAGGAUCCAGGCCUCUGCCGCACAAAGCCUCCACUGUUCUCUUGGGGCUGGCACCCCUUCCUGUGGCCCUGUGGCACCAAACAAAUUGAUUCAUCCAGCGAAUAUUUCUUAUUUACUCUGUUCCACAUGGUGGUGAGUGAAUCAACCCUGGACUCUCCCCACAAAGGACUUAAGAACACGCAGGUCAUGAACAAAUGAACACUUUUGCAUAAUUUUUAUGACCAACGGUGACCAGGCCAAGAGCAGGAUGAGGUGAUGGAGAAUACCUUGGCCUGGGGCAUCGGAGGAAACUCUUGCGAGGAUGUGCUACCUCCGUUGAAAGUGGGAAGAUGAGAGACCGGCUGUAAGAGGAGCAAGGGAAGGAGGUUCUGGAAUGAGAGAACAGCACGAACAAAAUGCCCGAGACAGGAGCGAGCUUGGCACCUUCAAGAAAAUAAAGAGGAGAAUCACUGAACCUGGCACGUGGAGGUUGCAAUGAGCUGAGAUCGCGCCACUGCACUCCAGCCUGCGAGACAGAGCGAGACUCCAUCUCAAAAAAAAAAAAAAAAAAAAAAAGGAAAGAAAAGGAGGCCAUUGGGAUGGCUGAGGCUGGAAGGGUGGACCAGGUGCCCCACAGGCAAGAGGUCCCAACUAUAGAUGAAGCACGCAGGCUACAGACAGGUCUUUUAUUGAAUCAUCUAAAUAUCACAGAUACUUAGGUCUGAGGAGUCAUCCAACAUCGUGUUUCUGUAGCUGGACAACUCUUAGAACCUCCUCA
RNAcentral lists this long non-coding RNA (1784 nucleotides) under Homo sapiens (human). RNAcentral's name for it is "HSALNT0391969". Lineage: Eukaryota; Metazoa; Chordata; Mammalia; Primates; Hominidae. The record is from RNAcentral.